Molecule: long non-coding RNA, 2944 nt
Organism: Vespa velutina
Lineage: Eukaryota; Metazoa; Arthropoda; Insecta; Hymenoptera; Vespidae
Exons: 3
Source: RefSeq, a predicted model, not a curated record
CUCCAAUUCGCGCGAGCCGGGUCACGGGGUCGUUAUUACACGCGAGCUUACGAAUGCGAGGAAGGCGGAAGAGAGUAGGAACAACGCGUCUAUGCGACGCCAACGAUAGUAACUAUCUCUAAGAGUAGAAACUCGAGGAUCCAAACUGAAGCUCUUACUCGAAGAAUAUUUAUUUUCUGUCUUUUGAUCGCGUUUUCCUCGUCGUCGAAUCGUUAUACGUCGACUGACGAAGAGUCAAACACAUUUCCGAAAUAAAUUCUAGUAGUUCUAGUAGAAAUGGGAGAGGGGAGAUAAAAAAAAGAGAAGAAAAAAAAAAAAGAAAAAAAAUAAGCGUCAAAGCGGACUCUACUACAACCGCCAAUACAACUUGGAAAAAGAUGAUCCGAUGCAAAAAUGAUGAAAAUGAUCUUAACUUUCGAUGACCUCGCUUGACCUUUUCUCCUCCACCUCUGGCUGUCUGUCUACGUAACCGAUAACGUUGAGUUCGCUUAUCCAUUGUGGUAUCGCCAUUGAAACGGGUCACGUCAAACUGUUCCGUAGCCGAUGACAACGUCAAAGAAGAAGAAGAAGAAGAAGGAGGAAAAGAAGAAGAAGAAGAAGAAGAAGAAGAAGAAGAAGAAGAAGAAGAAGAAGAAGACGACGACUACGUCACUUUUCCUAACCGGAUGUUGCGUUUCUCACGCGGAUUGGUAGAAAUGCAGAUAGCAUUAGACGUUGUAAAUGUGGUAGAGGCGCUGGCCUCGUACGUAGUCAUCUUUCCUUUCUCGGGACUUAUCGAUUUCUUAACGAGAGAAACGUUAAAAGUACUUACAUAGACAAAUAACGAUUUAAUGAUUUAUCCGAUUAGAAAAUUUCUUUUCUUUUUGCAUUGAUACUCUUCGUAUUAUUAGGUAAUCUCGUAAAUCGAUAAACGGUGAGAAAAAAAGAUAAAUGAAAGGAAAAAGAGAGAGAUAGAAAGAAAAAGACAAAGAAAGAGAGAGAGAGAGAGAGAGAGAGAGAGGGAGAAGUAGAAAAACGUGGUAGAAACGUUUCAGAAAUAUUACUUAUAUAUCUACACGUUACAGGUGCUCAAGCUUAACGCGAAAUCUUGGAAGACGAAGAACGGCAAGUGCUCCAGGGAACGUGACGGAACGGAGCGAGUUUCUUGAGAAAUACGCACGACGUGAGAUCUGUGAACGCUAGUUGAACGAAAGAACGAAAGAACGAACCCUUGGCGCAGGACCGCAAUGAUUUUUAUCCAAAUAAAAAUGAGAAGAAUCAGGAGAAACGGAGCGUAUCAGGAAGGAGAAAAAGAAAAGUCGGUUGGCUUUAUUCGCGUGAAUCAAGGAGUUACAAUGUAAAGUCGACUCGAGAUAUUCUUCCUUCACCUCUCUCUCUCUCUCUCUCUCUCUCUCUUUCUUUUUCUCUCUCUCUCUCUCUCUCUCUCUCUCUCUUUCUUUUUCUCUCUCUCUCUCUCUCUCUCUCUACCUGUCUAUCUAUCUCCCUUUCUUUUUAUAACGGAAGGAACCUCGAUAUUUUGCCUUUAAAUUCUUACUAAGGUAUUUAUAAUUUACGACUUUAUAAAAGCCCCGGUUAAAGAAUGAGAGAUGCUCGUUUAAAGAUCGUAAAAAGGUAAAAGAGAGAGAGAGAGAGAGAGAGAGAGAGAGAGAGAGAGAGAGAGAAAUAGAGGGAGAGAGAAAAAAAGAGAAAGAGACGAACGUACCUGAGAUAGACUGCUACGACCAAAGGUGGGCGUUCCUGUCUGAGAUCUGUCAGCUUGGCCGGAUGUAGGAAGGCCGGAACGUGUAGCCUCGAUCUGGGAUAUAACGGGCCAUGAGGUACGAGUAGCGUGAGAGAAUCGUCGGCCUUGAGCUCCUUGUAGGCCGCACGAUUUGGCGCAAGGGGCACUUGGCCGAGUGGCGUCACCGGUUGAAUUUGCACUCUUGGCCGGCAGAAAGCUGCCCCACCGUCUGAAUUGCCAGAGGCAACGUCCUCGGUACGUGGUUCCAGUACGGAGUAAGCGACUUGUACGAGCCUCGGCAAGCUCUUUGCGACCUUGACGCGUCCGGAUGCAUCAGGAGGAGGUAGAGGAGCCCACCAAUCCGCUGGUAUUGUGAUUUGGGCCAAGCAAACGCCGUUCUCACCGUCCGGGCUACAUGCUGCCGUUAGGGCAGUGUUAGUUGAGGUUGAUGAGGAUGAGGAUGACGAUCCCGACGACGAAGACGACGAUGACGACGACGACGACGACGACGACGAUGACGACGACGACGAUGACGAUGAUGAUGACGAUGACGACGAUGACGUCGAAGAAGAACCGGAGUUACUAGAAUAUUCCCUUCUUCCGUUAUUAUUUAAAUUCCUCAAGGGUGUCGCCAAACUAGCAUGGAGAACAACGCAGACCCUUUGAUGACGAGCAAGGAGCAAUUGUCUUCUACCACCGGCCUCACUUCCAGCGUGGAAUAAAACCCGAAGAACCGGAGAAUCUCUGGGGACGCUGUUACCAACUAAAUGCGCCGACAUGUCCAAAUGUCUUGCGCCCAAUUCUUGAGCGUCCAUUAUCGUCGCGGCUGUUAAAUUGCGUCUGGUCUCAGGUCCUGGUAAAGCGUCCAAUGGAUCGGGUACGAUAUAACGGGCUGGUACCGUCUGCUUCGUACUGAAAGGACCAUAGCUCGCUCUAACUGACACUGGUUCGCUAGUUUGAAAGACGGUGAACUUGUCUAUUGAUAAAACCGAGCCUGGUGGUGGCGAUGGUACUGAACCAGCACUGUUCGAUGCCGAUAUGCUUGCACCUGUACCCGUCGAUGACGCAGCUAUCGCUGGUAUUGUAUCCGUUCGAGACGGGUAAUAGGGUCUUGGUGUGUGCUUCAAAAAGAAUCCGCCAUCUUUGUUCUCGAAAUGGACCUCCACCGAUGCCGCAACAUCUGUAAUCAAAAAAAUAUAUACAUUUUAUACUAUAUUAAAAAUU